AUGCAGGAGGAGAAAUUCACAGGGCUCGCAGAGCUACUAACCAAGGUAGCGACUGAUGACGGGACGGUGAUCAUCACAUCAGUGAACGAGGCGUGGGCACGACUAGGCUCCCUCCUUGACCUCUUCCUCGCGAGCUUCAAGAACGGCGAGGGCAUCGCACACCUCCUCAACCACACCCUCAUCAUUGCCAUGGACACCAUCACCUUGGCCCGUUGUGAGGCCGUGCACCCGCAUUGCUACCUCCAUGAGGUCACCUCUGCCAACGUUAGCUCCGCUAACCGCUUCAUGACCAAGAGCUAUCUCGAGCUCAUCUGGGCCAGGCUCGAGGUCCCACAACAUAUCCUACAACUUGGCUACAACUAUCUCUCCACCGAUGUGGAUGUCAUGUGGUUGCGCAACCCGUUCCGAUACAUCAACCUUUACACCGACAUGGCCAUGUCGACCGAUGGCUUCAACGGCAAUGUUGAUGACCUGAAAAAUGUGGGAAACGGCGGCUUCUACUACAUUAGGUCGACAAACAGGACGGUGGAGAUGCUAAAGCGCUGGCGGGCAGCAAGGUCACAGUUCCCCUCCGCCCACGACCAAGGAGUACUCAAUGAGAUCAAGGCCGAUCUCGCGGCCGGUGAACUGCAGAUCAAGUUCGUGUUCCUUGAGACGACACUCUUUGACGGCUUCUGCCAGUUCCACGGAGAGAUGGACAAGGUGUGUACUAUGCACGCCAUCUGCUGCAUCGGGCUUGAGAACAAGGUGCACGACCUUAGGAACCUGGCUGCUGACUGGAAGAACUACACGAGCGUGGCGUCAAUGGAGAAGAGGACCGGCAAGCAUAGGUGGACGCCCCCCAACCGGUGCAAGGCGUCGAUGAGGCAGCACUGA
RNAcentral lists this ribosomal RNA (876 nucleotides) under Triticum aestivum (bread wheat). RNAcentral describes it as "partial small subunit ribosomal RNA". Lineage: Eukaryota; Viridiplantae; Streptophyta; Magnoliopsida; Poales; Poaceae. The record is from RNAcentral.